UUACAUUCAAGUAAUGGUUUUGUCUGCUCCUGUGAUAAGCAUGUGCUGUUGUUUUUAUUGCUGCUGGUUUUUUAAUAGUGUUGAUUUUGCUAAAUUUUCUGUUAUUUUAGCUACAAUAUCAUGAUAUGGUCUGGUAUGAAAAGAAGUCUAUGAGGGUGACACCAGGAGUUACCACACCGGGUGACACCAAUUCUAGUGACAUCACCAGAGAAUUUAUUAAGGAAGAAAGGAUGUGGUUGCUGCAUGAGUCCUUUUAACUGGUAGUGUGAAGAGCUGGAAACAUCCUUUGCCACUGUGAGUUGCCUUGAGAGAUUUUUCAGUGCGUAUAUAGAAUACAGGUGUUCUAAUAAAUAAAAUAAGAACCAGCAGCACAAGAUGCUAUGUGCCUUAUAUCAGAAGAUGUACAUAAAAUUGAAUUUUAAUCAGAUGGGUACCUAUAUGUUUUGUAUUGGGGAACAAAUAUUGGUGGCUGGGUGUGUUCAAUUAGAGAAAUAACAGAUGCGUAAAGGGUUAAUCAACAGUCAAAAUCCAAGUUAGCUCUCCCCCCUGCCAUGUUGCCUAACAAUGUUUUAACUACAGAAUAAAACUGGGAAAUCUUAAUACCAGAUCUAAUAUGUCUCAUCUAGUUUAACCUCCAAUAGAACACUGAAAACUGAGACCAAAAUGGUCAACGGAUUGGAAGCCAAGUCCUAUGAUGAGUGACUUAGGGAGAUAGUCAUGUUUAUCUUGGGGAAAAGAAGGCUGAGAGGGGACACGAUGCCUAUGCUCAAAUAUUUGAAAGGUUGUUUUCUGCUGCUGUAGAGACUAGGACAUAGAGCAAUGGAUUCAAUUUGCAGGAAAAUAGAUUCCAUCUAAAUAUUAGUAAGAACUUUCUGAUGGUAAGAGCUAUUCGCCAAUGGAAUAUGCUGCCUUGGAGUGUAGUGAAGUCUCCUUUCCUGGAGGUUUGGAAACAGAAGCUAGAUGACCAUCUGUCAGGAGUGCUUUGACUGUGCAUAGGAGAAUCGGGUUGGUCUGUAUGGCUCUUGGGGUCUCUUACAACUCUAUGAUGUCAUAACCUUGGCCAUUCAUUAUGUGACAAAGAGACAGAAUCCAAAAAAAGAUAGGACAGCCAUCAAGUCAUAGUCCUACACAGUGCAUCAAGAAAUUACAAAGGAAGACUUAAAAGAGAAACAGCUGAACUGAAUUAUAUUCAAAAAU
This 1197-nucleotide long non-coding RNA is filed under the name Anolis carolinensis (green anole). RNAcentral's name for it is "lncRNA (ENSACAG00000036600.1)". The record is from RNAcentral. Lineage: Eukaryota; Metazoa; Chordata; Lepidosauria; Squamata; Anolidae.